RNAcentral lists this ribosomal RNA (483 nucleotides) under uncultured copper smeltery bacterium D59. Its description in RNAcentral is "bacterial SSU rRNA". It matches the Rfam family "Bacterial small subunit ribosomal RNA", at positions 22 to 495 of the family's 1533-position model. The record is from RNAcentral.
GCUCAGGAUGAACGCUAGCGGCAGGCUUAAUACAUGCAAGUCGAGGGGCAGCAGGGGUGUAGCAAUACACUCGCUGGCGACCGGCAAACGGGUGCGGAACACGUACGCAAUCUACCCAAAACUGAUGAAUAGCCCUCCGAAAGGAGGAUUAAUACAUCGUAAUCUUUUAAAGUGGCAUCACUUUAUCAGUAUAGCUCCGGCGGUUCUGGAUGAGCGUGCGCCUGAUUAGGUAGUUGGCGUAGGUAACGGCUCACCAAGCCUGCGAUCAGUAACUGGUGUGAGAGCACGACCAGUCACACGGGCACUGAGACACGGGCCCGACUCCUACGGGAGGCAGCAGUAAGGAAUAUUGGUCAAUGGACGCAAGUCUGAACCAGCCAUGCCGCGUGAAGGAUGAAGGUGCUCUGGAUUGUAAACUUCUUUUAUAGGGGAAGAAACCGGGAAAUUCUUUUUCCGUUGACGGUACCCUGGGAAUGAGCACCG